This 393-nucleotide ribosomal RNA is filed under the name uncultured bacterium. RNAcentral describes it as "partial 16S ribosomal RNA". It matches the Rfam family "Bacterial small subunit ribosomal RNA", at positions 523 to 918 of the family's 1533-position model. The record is from RNAcentral.
AUACGGAAGGUCCGGGCGUUAUCCGGAUUUAUUGGGUUUAAAGGGAGCGCAGGCGGAGAUGCAAGCGUGACGUCAAAUUUCGGGGCUCAACCCCGUCUCGCGUCGCGAACUGCGUCCCUUGGUUGCGGGAAGGGGAGGCGGAACUCGUGGUGUAGCGGUGAAAUGCAUAGAUAUCACGAAGAACUCCGAUCGCGAAGGCAGCCUUCCGGCCCGUCAACGACGCUCAUGCUCGAAGGUGCGGGUAUCAAACAGGAUUAGAUACCCUGGUAGUCCGCACAGUAAACGAUGGACACCCGCGGUUUGGCCUGUAUGGCUGAGCCGCCAAGCGGAAGCGUUAAGUGUCCCACCUGGGGAGUACGCCGGCAACGGUGAAACUCAAAUGAAUUGACGGGG